This 3145-nucleotide long non-coding RNA is filed under the name Homo sapiens (human). Its description in RNAcentral is "HSALNT0390553". Lineage: Eukaryota; Metazoa; Chordata; Mammalia; Primates; Hominidae. The record is from RNAcentral.
GUGUGUGUGAGGGUGCCGUGAGGGUGUGUGUGAGGGUGUGUGUGGGUGUGUGUGUGUGUGAGGGUGUGUAUGUGUGAAAGGCACUGGGAAAAGAAUCCCAUGCUAAAUGCCCAAGAGCCCAGAGGAGAGGAAGACGGGGCCAGGAGCCUACAGAGGAGGAAGGGUAGCCAUUCUGGGCCUGGAGACCCCCACCUUCCUCCCCUAAAAUACAGGGAAGAAGAAGGCCUGCCCUAGAGGCCAGUAGGAGCUGAGCAAAAGGAAUCCUAAGUCCAAGAGAGGAGCAGAGGACCUGGCCGCCAGCUCCACCCUCCCUCCCAGGGCCAAAUUUAGCCUGGGCUUAGAAGCUGCGGCCCAGCCAGCUCAUUAAAGGGCCCACGACCCUUUGGGCCUGUGCUGUCAGACCCACCCGGGCCCUAGGACACCUCCAGCCCUCAGAGCUCCCAGCCCCUUCAUCCCAGAGCCCAGCUCCCAGCCCCAUUCCCUGGAUCCCCAGCUGGCCAUGGCAUUAACACCCCAAAGCCCUUCUGGCGCCUGCCUCACCCAACCCAGAUCCCUCUUCUGUGGGCCCUCCACACCUCCGUCUUACCACCCCUAAAUCCUGCCCCCUCAUCCUGGGCCUCCCCGCUGAACAAGGCCCCAACUUGCCCACGAGGAGAGGAGUCCAGAAGAGUGUCUCAGCCAUGGCUGCCCGGCCUGGCCCGCCCGGCCAAGCUGGGUGUCCCCUUAGCCCCUGCGUGCUUUCCUGGGCACAACACAAUCACACAGACUGCUCCAAGCUCCUCGAAGACUAGGAUCUUGUCACGUUUGUGCCAUCCACCCAGCCUUUAUCCCCAGUCCAAGCACUUCAGCGUGGAGGUCUAGCAAGCCCUGGACAGGACCAGCCAGCUAGAGACAGCUGGAAUAAUUAUAGACAGAAACUGCCCCUUGCGAUUUGGUUACUGAGUGGGAAAGUUCGUAAAAGGAAGACGGGAGAAACGCUGGACUCUUCCUGUAUUAAACAGUUUCUGAAUAAAGAGCUGUUUCCCUAGCAUCCUCCAAACUCUGGCCAGUCCGAGCUUCUUUGGUAGUAGUAGAAUGAUGAUACAUGGUUUACACCUAUCUGACUGCUUCAGUCCAUUGCAACUAGGGUCCCUUCUGGUGCUCACAUUGCCUAUCUUUAGCUCUCCGUUUUGUCAUCCCCAGUUGGGGCGUCGGUCAGGAGAGCUGGAGGGGUCGGGGCUCGUACCCCACCUCGCACAGCUGGUGCCCUUGCCGUGCCCUAGGCUCCGCCGGUACUUCCCCGGCCUCCGCCUCACUCCUGCGGCCCAGCCCUGUCCUGAGCUAGUCGCUUCUCUGUCCUGGCCUUUUUGACAUCCGCAUCCGUCUCUCCAGCUUUCUGCCCCGUCUCUGCCCACCAGUGCCUAAAUGUAAGCCCUCUGGUCCUUUGUCCCUGUAUCUCCCCAUCCCAGUGAAUGUUUGCUGAAUGAACGAAUGACUGCUGUCCAGUGUGUCUCAUUCAGCUUCAGUUUCUGUGCACCUGUCUCUAAGUCUCUUGAGGUCUGAGGCCGUGUUUUCUUUAUCUGCAUCUAUACGUUGCCGUGAGGGACAAAGGAAAGGGCUUCUCGUCAUUGUGAUCUGAUUCUCGCAUCUGCCUCCCAGACUCCACCCACAUCUUUCUCCCCUGUCCCGUACGCCGCCUCCAGCGCAACAACAAAGACUGCGACCUGGCCAGUCCGCCACGAGAGGGCGCGUUCGCUGGCGCCAGCCCGGUCUUGCGCCUGCGCGAUGUUGGGACGGAGCGGGAGUCGGGGGCGGGAUGCCUGCGGAGCGCGCCGCCCCGGGCUGGGGAUGCGCGUCAGCAGUGCGUGCUGGGGGACGCAGUUACAGGGGGCGACGCAGGAGGGAACCCAAGGCCACGAGCUCCAUCUCGUCCUCCCCUUCCCGACCCAGAAAACGCUCUAAUCUACAGGGGGAGGAGAAGCCGCACGGAGGCAGGGGGCUGGACAUAAUGAUCUCUUCCCCAUCCCACCUCCACCCAUCCCACCAUCUGUAUCAAGCCUCCGACUUCCAAGGACAUUUCCAUAUCCCCCCAGACAUUUUGGGAUACCAGCCUGGAGACCUAAAUGUACCCAGAAUCCCCCGCCUUUUUAUCGGUGGAUUUCAGCCCUCAAAGCGUUCCGUGAGCCUCUGACCGCCCAAAUCCAUCACACAUGAGUUGGAAUGCCAGGGACCAUUCCCGGCCAAACGUUAGAUUACAGGAGUAAGAGAGAAGAGGAGGGACUGUCCGAGGUGCCUCGGCACUAUGGCUGCACAGCUGGAUCUCUGGACACGGAGCCCUGGACCGUUUCCACCCAGACACUCCCAUUCCAUCAAGUGGGGGUGUGGACGUUUAUGCAAUUCUGGAAGGUCUCCUGGUGGGGACCCCUGGGAAAGAGACUAAUAAGAAAGCAUCCAGUUUCUUCGGUCUCUGACGUUGUUGUCUGCACAAGAGAGUUAAGGCAGCCAUCUUGGGACCAUGAGGGAGCCAGUCUAAGAGGCAAAUCAACACAAUGAGAGGGUGUUGGAAAAAGACAAAAAGAACCUGGUCCUUGAUGUCACAGCCAGGCCUCUGAAUUAACCACCCCCAGGACUUCUUGUUACGUGAGCUAAUAAACGUUCCUUUUUGCUUAAACCCCUUCUAGUUGGGCUUUCUGUUGUAACUUGCACCGAAAACUACAAUAGGAUAGCAAAGGAUAUGAACAUAAGUGAUUUGCCUAGAGGAAACCCACAUGGUCAAUGAGAAUAAGAUGCUCAGCCUCAUAGGCAGGGAAUGCAGCUUCAAAUGAGAUGCCACUUCAUGCCUAUCAGAUUGGCAAACAUAAGUCUAACAAGAGCAAAAGUUGGCAAGGAUGUGGUAAAACAGGAUGUCUUGUACAAACGCUGGUGGUGAGAGGAUCAAUUGGUUCAGACGCUGUAGAGAGCAGUUUGGCAGUACUAGUCAACUUCAAAGUGUGCCUGCCCGACAAUCCUAGCUUUCUAAGUAUAUGCCCUAAUAAUGGGUUCAGAGAAAAGUCCAAGCAUGUUCAUUGAAGCCCUGUUUAUAUAACAGCAAAACAGGCCCGGUGCAAUGGCUCAUGCCUGUAAUCCCAGCACUUUGGGAAGCUGAGGCAGGCAGAUCACUUGAGCU